CUGUCUCCACCCGAGACUCAGUGAAAUUGAACUCGCUGUGAAGAUGCAGUGUACCCGCGGCAAGACGGAAAGACCCCGUGAACCUUUACUAUAGCUUGACACUGAACAUUGAGCCUUGAUGUGUAGGAUAGGUGGGAGGCUUUGAAGUGUGGACGCCAGUCUGCAUGGAGCCGACCUUGAAAUACCACCCUUUAAUGUUUGAUGUUCUAACGUGGACCCGUAAUCCGGGUUGCGGACAGUGUCUGGUGGGUAGUUUGACUGGGGCGGUCUCCUCCUAAAGAGUAACGGAGGAGCACGAAGGUUGGCUAAUCCUGGUCGGACAUCAGGAGGUUAGUGCAAUGGCAUAAGCCAGCUUGACUGCGAGCGUGACGGCGCGAGCAGGUGCGAAAGCAGGUCAUAGUGAUCCGGUGGUUCUGAAUGGAAGGGCCAUCGCUCAACGGAUAAAAGGUACUCCGGGGAUAACAGGCUGAUACCGCCCAAGAGUUCAUAUCGACGGCGGUGUUUGGCACCUCGAUGUCGGCUCAUCACAUCCUGGGGCUGAAGUAGGUCCCAAGGGUAUGGCUGUUCGCCAUUUAAAGUGGUACGCGAGCUGGGUUUAGAACGUCGUGAGACAGUUCGGUCCCUA
RNAcentral lists this ribosomal RNA (625 nucleotides) under Escherichia coli. Its description in RNAcentral is "partial 23S ribosomal RNA". It matches the Rfam family "Bacterial large subunit ribosomal RNA", at positions 2016 to 2640 of the family's 2925-position model. Lineage: Bacteria; Pseudomonadati; Pseudomonadota; Gammaproteobacteria; Enterobacterales; Enterobacteriaceae. The record is from RNAcentral.